Molecule: ribosomal RNA, 471 nt
Filed under: uncultured Nitrosospira sp.
Lineage: Bacteria; Pseudomonadati; Pseudomonadota; Betaproteobacteria; Nitrosomonadales; Nitrosomonadaceae
Description: bacterial SSU rRNA
Rfam family: Bacterial small subunit ribosomal RNA
Source: RNAcentral
ACGGGGGGAGGAAAGUAGGGGAUCGCAAGACCCUUCGCUUUCGGAGUGGCCGAUAUCAGAUUAGCUAGUUGGUGAGGUAAAGGCUCACCAAGGCGACGAUCUGUAGCGGGUCUGAGAGGAUGAUCCGCCACACUGGGACUGAGACACGGCCCAGACUCCUACGGGAGGCAGCAGUGGGGAAUUUUGGACAAUGGGGGCAACCCUGAUCCAGCCAUGCCGCGUGAGUGAAGAAGGCCUUCGGGUUGUAAAGCUCUUUCAGCCGGAAAGAAAUCGCCACUCCUAAUACGAGUGGUGGAUGACGGUACCGGAAGAAGAAGCACCGGCUAACUACGUGCCAGCAGCCGCGGUAAUACGUAGGGUGCGAGCGUUAAUCGGAAUUACUGGGCGUAAAGCGUGCGCAGGCGGUUUUGUAAGACAGGCGUGAAAUCCCCGGGCUUAACCUGGGAACUGCGUUUGAAACUACAAAGCUAG